UCGUGGGAUUGGUAUUUUGUUAUUUGGGCUCAUAAAAUAAACAAAAACUAAGCUGACAUUGACCUUCGUCUUCCUCAACAUUGGCGACCAAAUGAUUUCUAAGAUUCGAGCCGAUUAGGUCAACCGACAAUGGUGUUUUUGGAAGGUUGUGAGAGACAAAUCUUCUUUAGGAAUCUCUGGGUCGAGCUCCGUUCGUGUCGGUUCAUCUGCGAUUCAUCUCCUCUGAAACGUUACGGGAUGCAUGCUUCUUAUCUCUUUUAGAGACGGUGGAUCUCCACCUAUAAAAGUUUGUUGCAGGCUUAUCUUUCUCGAGUACAGAAGAGACAUUAACCCUAGCAUUUUCUCAAUAUGGCCGAGUACUUGCAGUGGAUGGUGUAAUGGAUGAUGUCAAAUGAAGGCAAGGGUUUGCUUAUGUCACAUUCUCUUCUAAAGAAGAAGCUGUGAAAGCUUUAUUAGAACUAAACGGAAAGGUGGGGAAUGUUUAUGAUGAAUAACUGUGAAUUUCCUGGUGGAGUACUGAAUCAUCAACUAUCCAAGUUGGUUAUGUUGCGUAAUGAAUUUUGUUAUUUUGAUCACAGUUGGUAGACGGGCGGGUUGUGAUCCGUGACACAACAAAAGUUGUAAAACAGAAUCGACCCUUCCAUAUCAAAGACCUCAACAAAAUUCUCGCUCGAUCUGUGGCCGUUUUUCUUGGUUUUGGAUCCAUCGGGAUGGGUUGAUUAGUCAUUGGUCAAGAAUGGGUGUGCUCUAAAAAGAAACAGAGGAAGCUAAAGAGUAGCCCAUACUGCUCCAAACACAGACCUAACUCUCACGGCUUGCUCUCUCCUGAUCCUUGGAGAUGAGGUUCAAUGCGGAAGGACGAGAAACCCACCAUGAUCUCUCAUGAGAUUCCAAUGUCCCGCAAUAGCUCAUACAGACAAGCUUUUCUAAAUGGUGACUUUUUUACUUACCAAAGUCUAAAAGAUUAUUGGCUUGAUGAUGGAAGUAAUAUGUGAGAGCAAAUCAUUAUGAAAAGUUGUCAACCUUUUCUCUGUUGUUUGAUCGUGAGUACCACUGUACAAGGAUCUAUGGUGUGUAUUAGAAUAUGCUUCUUUGUUUAGAUUCUUUCAUAUCCUGACAUGUGUGUAUGGGUCUUGAAAAUUACAAAAUAGCAUUCAAAUCUA
Long non-coding RNA from Raphanus sativus (radish), 1163 nucleotides. RefSeq lists it as uncharacterized. The record is from RefSeq and is a predicted model, not a curated record. The transcript is spliced from 5 exons. Lineage: Eukaryota; Viridiplantae; Streptophyta; Magnoliopsida; Brassicales; Brassicaceae.